This 778-nucleotide ribosomal RNA is filed under the name uncultured Bacteroidota bacterium. RNAcentral describes it as "bacterial SSU rRNA". It matches the Rfam family "Bacterial small subunit ribosomal RNA", at positions 711 to 1503 of the family's 1533-position model. Lineage: Bacteria; Pseudomonadati; Bacteroidota. The record is from RNAcentral.
GAUUGCGAAGGCAGCUUACUAAACUGUAACUGACGCUGAUGCACGAAAGCGUGGGGAUCGAACAGGAUUAGAUACCCUGGUAGUCCACGCCGUAAACGAUGAUAACUAGUUGUUUGCGAUAUACAGUAAGCGACAAAGCGAAAGCAUUAAGUUAUCCACCUGGGGAGUACGUUGGCAACAAUGAAACUCAAAGGAAUUGACGGGGGCCCGCACAAGCGGUGGAACAUGUGGUUUAAUUCGAUGAUACGCGAGGAACCUUACCUGGGCUUAAAUGUGGAGUGACAGCUUUAGAGAUAGAGUUUUCUUCGGACACUUCACAAGGUGCUGCAUGGUUGUCGUCAGCUCGUGCCGUGAGGUGUCGGGUUAAGUCCCAUAACGAGCGCAACCCACGUCCUUAGUUACCAGCAAGUAAAGUUGGGCACUCUGAGGAGACUGCCGGUGUAAACCGCGAGGAAGGUGUGGAUGACGUCAAAUCAGCACGGCCCUUACGUCCAGGGCUACACACGUGUUACAAUGGCCGGUACAGAGGGCAGCUACAUAGUGAUAUGAUGCGAAUCUCAAAAACCGGUCUCAGUUCGGAUCGGAGUCUGCAACCCGACUCCGUGAAGCUGGAAUCGCUAGUAAUCGCGCAUCAGCCAUGGCGCGGUGAAUACGUUCCCGGGCCUUGUACACACCGCCCGUCAAGCCAUGGAAGCUGGGGGUACCUGAAGUCCGUAACCGCAAGGAGCGGCCUAGGGUAAAACUAGUAACUGGGGCUAAGUCGUAACAAGGUAGCCGU